This 490-nucleotide ribosomal RNA is filed under the name Veillonella parvula. RNAcentral's name for it is "bacterial SSU rRNA". It matches the Rfam family "Bacterial small subunit ribosomal RNA", at positions 28 to 488 of the family's 1533-position model. Lineage: Bacteria; Bacillati; Bacillota; Negativicutes; Veillonellales; Veillonellaceae. The record is from RNAcentral.
GACGAACGCUGGCGGCGUGCUUAACACAUGCAAGUCGAACGAAGAGCGACGGAAGCUUGCUUCUAUCAAUCUUAGUGGCGAACGGGUGAGUAACGCGUAAUCAACCUGCCCUUCAGAGGGGGACAACAGUUGGAAACGACUGCUAAUACCGCAUACGAUCUAAUCUCGGCAUCGAGGAUAGAUGAAAGGUGGCCUCUACAUGUAAGCUAUCACUGAAGGAGGGGAUUGCGUCUGAUUAGCUAGUUGGAGGGGUAACGGCCCACCAAGGCGAUGAUCAGUAGCCGGUCUGAGAGGAUGAACGGCCACAUUGGGACUGAGACACGGCCCAGACUCCUACGGGAGGCAGCAGUGGGGAAUCUUCCGCAAUGGACGAAAGUCUGACGGAGCAACGCCGCGUGAGUGAUGACGGCCUUCGGGUUGUAAAGCUCUGUUAAUCGGGACGAAAGGCCUUCUUGCGAACAGUUAGAAGGAUUGACGGACCGAAUAGAAA